GAUGAACGCUGGCGGCGUGCCUAAUACAUGCAAGUCGAGCGAACGGACGAGAAGCUUGCUUCUCUGAUGUUAGCGGCGGACGGGUGAGUAACACGUGGAUAACCUACCUAUAAGACUGGGAUAACUUCGGGAAACCGGAGCUAAUACCGGAUAAUAUUUUGAACCGCAUGGUUCAAAAGUGAAAGACGGUCUUGCUGUCACUUAUAGAUGGAUCCGCGCUGCAUUAGCUAGUUGGUAAGGUAACGGCUUACCAAGGCAACGAUGCAUAGCCGACCUGAGAGGGUGAUCGGCCACACUGGAACUGAGACACGGUCCAGACUCCUACGGGAGGCAGCAGUAGGGAAUCUUCCGCAAUGGGCGAAAGCCUGACGGAGCAACGCCGCGUGAGUGAUGAAGGUCUUCGGAUCGUAAAACUCUGUUAUUAGGGAAGAACAUAUGUGUAAGUAACUGUGCACAUCUUGACGGUACCUAAUCAGAAAGCCACGGCUAACUACGUGCCAGCAGCCGCGGUAAUACGUAGGUGGCAAGCGUUAUCCGGAAUUAUUGGGCGUAAAGCGCGCGUAGGCGGUUUUUUAAGUCUGAUGUGAAAGCCCACGGCUCAACCGUGGAGGGUCAUUGGAAACUGGAAAACUUGAGUGCAGAAGAGGAAAGUGGAAUUCCAUGUGUAGCGGUGAAAUGCGCAGAGAUAUGGAGGAACACCAGUGGCGAAGGCGACUUUCUGGUCUGUAACUGACGCUGAUGUGCGAAAGCGUGGGGAUCAAACAGGAUUAGAUACCCUGGUAGUCCACGCCGUAAACGAUGAGUGCUAAGUGUUAGGGGGUUUCCGCCCCUUAGUGCUGCAGCUAACGCAUUAAGCACUCCGCCUGGGGAGUACGACCGCAAGGUUGAAACUCAAAGGUAUUGACGGGGACCCGCACAAGCGGUGGAGCAUGUGGUUUAAUUCGAAGCAACGCGAAGAACCUUACCAAAUCUUGACAUCCUUUGACAACUCUAGAGAUAGAGCCUUCCCCUUCGGGGGACAAAGUGACAGGUGGUGCAUGGUUGUCGUCAGCUCGUGUCGUGAGAUGUUGGGUUAAGUCCCGCAACGAGCGCAACCCUUAAGCUUAGUUGCCAUCAUUAAGUUGGGCACUCUAAGUUGACUGCCGGUGACAAACCGGAGGAAGGUGGGGAUGACGUCAAAUCAUCAUGCCCCUUAUGAUUUGGGCUACACACGUGCUACAAUGGACAAUACAAAGGGCAGCGAAACCGCGAGGUCAAGCAAAUCCCAUAAAGUUGUUCUCAGUUCGGAUUGUAGUCUGCAACUCGACUACAUGAAGCUGGAAUCGCUAGUAAUCGUAGAUCAGCAUGCUACGGUGAAUACGUUCCCGGGUCU
Molecule: ribosomal RNA, 1372 nt
Filed under: uncultured bacterium
Lineage: Bacteria
Description: bacterial SSU rRNA
Rfam family: Bacterial small subunit ribosomal RNA
Source: RNAcentral